Long non-coding RNA from Ficedula albicollis (Collared flycatcher), 2573 nucleotides. RefSeq lists it as uncharacterized. The transcript has 9 exons. NCBI's taxonomy places the organism in Eukaryota, Metazoa, Chordata, Aves, Passeriformes, Muscicapidae. The record is from RefSeq and is a predicted model, not a curated record.
CCGUCACCGGCGCCACGCAGAGGAUGCUCAGGGGCACGGUGAGGAUGUGGAAUGGAUCCAAAGGGCGCCAAAGCCUGGCAGGGUGGUGCAUUUGCUCCCCUCUCUUUGGGACUGCUCCACAUCCUUAGGGAUUCCUGUUGGGUCCUAGGUGAGGCCUUUGGAGCUCUCCUGGACCACAGUGGCUGUGCCAGCACCUUGCUGUCAGUGGGAUUCCUCUCAGAGCUCAUGAGCCCCCAAACCUGGGAUUCUUGGAAGGCUGUUGCUGAAAGUUGAUGGCAGGGCUGAUGACACAUUCCUCCACCCCUUGAGAGGUGCAAAGGCAUCCAGUUUCUGAGCUCGUGGCUGUACAGCUGCCUGGGCUGACUCACACACGUGGAAAUGACUUGUAUCUUACAGCAGUUUUCGGCGUGGUUGGUGCAUGUGGGUAAAAAGGAGGGGUUCUGUAACUGUCUGCAGAUCAGUUCCAAAUGGAAUUUUACAGCCUUCUUUGGCAGGAGAAGACAAGCACGUGCUGAAACCAGUUCAGGGCAGCUUUCAUUGUUUGUGAAAAAAGUUGUGUUGAAAGCUCUAAGAACCUGAAAUCCUUUCAUCAGCUCCAGAUUAGGAUGACAUUGAGUCAUCCCCAGUGUGAGCUUCCAGUUAAACCUGGGAGAAGAUUACCACAGUGACCUGACCAGGCAGAAAGUAGUACUGGUACCCACUGAGAUGUUUUCUUAAAAAACAAUAAGAAAACUUGAGCUGUUGAAGGCAACCCCCAUUACCUGAGCAGGUGCUUGAUGCUAUCUCCUUGAUGCUGACAAGAUGCACCUGAAUGGGAGAUCUCAGCUGUGUGUUCUAGAAGGGCUGAGAAGUAUUUGUCUCUGCUGAGCUGCUGCUGCAGGUUUAUGUGUGGAAUUAAUUUUCUCUGUGCUGCUGAUUUGCAAACAAAGCCAAUUGCUAAUGUGACCCAUAGAAGAUGUCAGGAAACUGUGCUGGGAUAAAAUACUCGACUGCUUCCAAGUGUUUUGUUCUAAAUGCUGGAAGACAUCCACACAGUCAGGCUGCAAUCAGAUCCACAGAGAGUAGAGAAAAAUCUGUGCCUUCUCAUUUCUGAUGAUGGCAGCCUUUGUCGUACUACCCCACACGACUAUCAGCUGUUUACAGAGGUGAUGACUGUUGGUGUGGUAGAUGGAUAAGGAAGAGGAGGAAGAAAAUGAUUCUUGACCAGCUGAAAGGAAGGUGGGGAGAGACCCGGUCAGUCUGGACCACCAGCCUGUAAUUCCAUAGAGAAGCAGCUUUCUCCUGUGGCCAUGGGUGUGUUUGUUGUACAAGGUAAAGUAAGUGCUCGUGCUGGGAGGAGCAGCAAAGCUCAGCACCAAACGACCUGGCACCUGCUAGAUCUUAAUCUGCUGUGUCAAAGGUGAGCUAAGGCUUAGAAAUUAGGUCUGUGAACAGGGUCAACUUAUCUUAGAAACUGGAUCAGUGCCUGCAGCCUGACAGACCAGAAAGGUUGAGCCUUGUCCUAGGGCCUCUGAAAACAAUGGAGCAGAUGUCUGCAUCUGUCCCAAAACAGAAAACUCCCAAACUUUCAUAAAGAAUCUUACUGGCUGUAAAAUUCCUGCUGCUCACACGGGCACACUGAAAGAAUAAAAGCUUCCAUUCAGGUUGCAUUGGUUAUGGUAAGUUUGUAUAUUGAGGUUGACUAAAGAGACACAAACUGAAGCUGUGAAGGAAAAUUUUAUUGUAAACAUUUUCUACUAACUUUAUUGAAAGGAUAAAGUGGGAAUAACAAAAAUACAAGACUGAAAACACACAAUUGCAGGCUCUGAGGAGCAAGAUGUUUCCAAGAGGAUUCAAAAGCGGUGCCUAGGAUUAGACAUAGGAGUGAAAUCCUCAGUUCUGUUGGGAACUUGUUCUUCUCCGUGAAAUGCUGUAACAACGCUAGGAGCACUGUAAUGGAUGUGUUCACCAAGAUGAGGUUGGAUUGCAUCUGCUGUGGUGGUAAUUCUUGGUUGUAAACCCUGUCUUGUGCAAGCUGGAGCUUCAGGCUGGACAUGCCAAAGUGGGUGCAAGUCCAGCAUUGCCACCGAGGGCUGGGCUGUGCUCUGAAAGCUUAGUGGGAAAGCAGAAGGACCAGAAAUACUUUCAGGCUCCAUUUUAUUCCUGAAGCACUGCCUUUUUGUAUUGCAUCUUCAGCUACCUGUUCUGUGCCUGCCUCUAUUCCCUUGAUUUCAUCUCUGCAAAAGCCUCCCUGGCUGCUUUGGGUCUGACCUGCCACUUCCAAUGGGAUAAGGUGAAGGUGACUGCAAAGUAGAAAAUAAUCCCAGCUGAAAAGCUGGAGGGAAAGGGGGUGGGGGGGAGGUGUUGUCCAAUGGUUUAUUUAUGGCAAAGUUUCCAUAAAAAAUGCCUUUGCUUCAGCCAAGAGACCUCCCUGGGGCCAAAGCGGGACCAUGAAGGUGUCCGUCCUAGCAGCGGGUGUGAGUGCUGAUACUUUUGGGCUGCGUGGUGCCUCUGGCCCCUCAGAGGUCAGGGCAAGGCUGAAGGAAGGAGGGGAGCUGCCACAGCUGCAGGUGAGGGCAAUAUUGGCUGUUUCA